Molecule: ribosomal RNA, 294 nt
Filed under: Labidiaster annulatus
Lineage: Eukaryota; Metazoa; Echinodermata; Asteroidea; Forcipulatida; Labidiasteridae
Description: partial 12S ribosomal RNA
Source: RNAcentral
CUUAUAGAUCUUCCUGGAGGAGCUUGCUAUCUAACCGAUAAUCCACGUUACACCUCACCAACUUUUGAAAAAUCARCYUGUAUACCAUCGUCGUCAGUUUACCCCGUAAGGAAAGURCRCAAAAAGAACAAAAACUCUCCACGCCAGAUCGAGGUGCAGCUUAUAAGUUGGGGAUCAGUGAGCUACAAUAAUUUAAUACCCCCCACAGAACACAAUUUUGAAUAAGUAAAUGAAAAUUUUACUUUGAAACAGGAUUCAGCAGUAACAGNUAAAAUAGAAACUAACCGUGAACCA